Aotus nancymaae (Ma's night monkey) is the source of this 96-nucleotide unclassified non-coding RNA. It matches the Rfam family "Y RNA". Rfam says of the family: Y RNAs are components of the Ro ribonucleoprotein particle (Ro RNP), in association with Ro60 and La proteins. The Y RNAs and Ro60 and La proteins are well conserved, but the function of the Ro RNP is not known. NCBI's taxonomy places the organism in Eukaryota, Metazoa, Chordata, Mammalia, Primates, Aotidae. The record is from Ensembl.
GGCUAGUCUGAUGGUAGUGGCUUAUUAGAACUUACUAACAUUAGUGUCACUAAAAUUGGUAUACAACUCCCCACUGCUAAAUUUGACUGGCUAAAA